Danio aesculapii is the source of this 869-nucleotide long non-coding RNA. RefSeq lists it as uncharacterized. The transcript is spliced from 3 exons. The record is from RefSeq and is a predicted model, not a curated record. NCBI's taxonomy places the organism in Eukaryota, Metazoa, Chordata, Actinopteri, Cypriniformes, Danionidae.
CAGUAAAUAACCUGAAGCCGAGGUUGCAGAUACACCAAGAGAAGAAUAUGAAUCCAAUGCAGUCCCAAAUUUGGACUCCGAAAUGUCUGAUAGCGAUGGCCCAGAAUGCAGCAUUGCCCCAGAUGUGAUCGAGACCGACUUUGAUUUCUCCUCUGAGGAAUCCUGUGAUGAGAAGAGCAAAGCAGACUCAUUCUGGAGCAAAUAUCCUCCAAAUAAUGAAACCAGGACAUCCUCACUGAGCAGUCCAGGACCUGCCCUGGGGUCUUCAGUGGAAACACCUAAAGAUGCCUGGGAGCUUUUUUUGAGCGUCACUGAUAACAUCCUGCAGUCCACCAACUUGGGUCAUCAGCAAAUAGAAGAGCAUGGCAAAAAAUCACUAAAGAGGAGCUUAAUGCUUUUAUUGGUUUGAGCCAUUCAGAGGAAGAUGCACAUUUCGGCAACACUGGACAAAACAACCUGUCAUGUAUGGUAUUAAAGUGUUUUGGUUGUGCGACGCGGAAUUGGCCUAUGCUAUUGAUGCUGUGAUCUACACUGGCAAACAGUCAGGAGAGGAGACUAAAGAGAUGCUUGCUGAGGACACAGUCCUGAAGUUGUCCAGUGGACUUCAGCAGAAAGGUCUUAACAUUACAUUGGACAGCAUGUAACCAGUGUCCCUCUGGCGGAGAAACUUUUUGAGAAGGGCCACACUUGCCACCGAUCAUGAAGCCAUCCAAAUCACGAGCACCACACACCUCUGAAUUUGGAUUUUGUGGCAACACGCCAUGGUCAAUUGGUUGAAUGAAUGCAGUGUUGUCAAUGCCUGCCGAAGAAGUCAAUUUAACAAAGCCACAAGGUGGAGCACAAGUCAAUUUGCACUGCAGGCCAAUACA